This 484-nucleotide ribosomal RNA is filed under the name Allocoris sp. WCW-2003. RNAcentral's name for it is "eukaryotic LSU rRNA". It matches the Rfam family "Eukaryotic large subunit ribosomal RNA", at positions 673 to 1102 of the family's 3401-position model. Lineage: Eukaryota; Metazoa; Arthropoda; Insecta; Hemiptera; Thyreocoridae. The record is from RNAcentral.
GUCUAGCGUGUGCGCGAGUCAUUGGGUGUAAAACCUAAAGGCGCAAUGAAAGUGUCAGGGGGGCCUCCUUUAGGAGCGUCUCCCGCAGGGAGGAUGGGCUUCCGUACAAUUACUUGUCGGAGCCCCGCACUCCCGGGGCGUCUCGUUCUCGUUACGAGUGGAGACGCACCAGGAGCGCACACGCUGGUACCCGAAAGAUGGUGAACUAUGCCUGGCCAGGACGAAGCCAGGGGAAACCCUGGUGGAGGUCCGAAGCGAUUCUGACGUGCAAAUCGAUCGUCUGAGCUGGGUAUAGGGGCGAAAGACCAAUCGAACUAUCUAGUAGCUGGUUCCCUCUGAAGUUUCCCUCAGGAUAGCUGGCUCUCGGGAAGAGACGAGUCUCAUCCGGUAGAGCGAAUGAUUAGAGGUGAUGGGGUCGAAACGACUUCAACCUAUUCUCAAACUCCCAAUAGAUGAGAGCCCCGGCUUGCUUAAAAGUGAAGCC